CGCAUGUCCAUUCAAACAAGGGUUCCAGGACGGCAGUCAGCAUAUAAUCAAACUGCACCCAAAUGCUGUGGUCGCGCGUGUGGUCGUGGAAGAGGGAGGGAACAACCCGAGCGCACGCACGCGUACGGACCCCGGCGUGCCGCCGCCAGCUACGCACCUCCUCUGCAAGCCAAUCCAGCAGCGCCGCCACCGCAGCGUCCAGGUCAGCCUCGCUGCGCUGGGGGCCUGACAGCAGCACCGCCGUGAGGCUCCGUGCGCUGUUCAGCACUGUCCGCCGCCCAGACCUCUCGCCCAGCUUGCGCUCCAGGGACUGUUUACCAACGUGCAGGGGGACUUAGUGGAGAUCCUCCUGUCCGGCUAAAACCUCUCGCCCAGCUUGCGCUCCAGGUAGCCGGACAGGAGGAUCUCCACUAAGUCCCCCUGCACGUUGGUAAACAGCUAAUUAUGGCAGAAGCGGAGGAGCCGCCGCUGCCGAGGUUGCGCAUACAUGCAGCGGCUGCGGCUGCGGCGCCGAACCCACCGAUGAUGCGGUGUGAGCCCAACGCACUGGCAGCCGCUUCAGUAGCUCACUGCGUGCCGCCUCCAGCUUCUGCAGCUGCACCGCAUCCGUGACAGCAAGGAAGCCGAGCAGAGGUGAAUGCAGUCAAGUUUUGCUCAGGAAGGAGCUGCACACGGGGCAAGGGCCAGCAAGCAGGUAGCAUGCGUAGUUACGCCCGGUUGCCAUGCGCACAUAGCUGGCCCGGCGACAAACUGCAAACCAUACCCAUCAUGCAUGCAUUGAGCAACCUGAUACCUACGCCCAUUGGCACAUUGGUGCAGGGCAGCAGGCAGGCAGACCUAACCUGCUGUAUGCACCUGAGCCAGCCCGCCCUCCACCUGCUCCCGCCCGGCCCGCUUGAGCAGGGCGAUCUGCUGCUGUAUCUCCGCGACCAGUACCGCCAGGAAGCCGCGAUCCUGCGAGCAAGCAUCAUGGUUAAGUCGCGCAUGUCCAUUCAAACAAGGGUUCAAGGAAGGCAGUCAGCAUAUAAUCAAACUGCACCCAAAUGCUGUGGUCGCGCAUGUGGUUGUGGAGGCGGGAGGGAACAACUCGAGCGCACGCACGCGUACGUACGGACCCUGGCGUGCCGCCGCCAGCUACGCACCUCCUCUGCAAACCAAUCCAGCAGCGUCCAGGUCAGCCUCGCUGCGCUGGGGGCCUGGCAGCAGCGCCGCCGCGAGGCUCCGUGCGCUGUCCAGCACUGCCCGCCGCCCUCUCGCCCAGCUUGCGGCCUAGGUAGCCGGACAGGAGGAUCUUCAGGUCUCCCUGCACUUUAGUGAACCGUCCCUGCGCCUGCAGCACGCUUUUGAACUUUGCGUCCAGCUUGGCGUUCUGCUCGCUGAACAUGGCGUCCAACAUAGUGCUGAACAUGGCGUCCAACAUAGUGUUCUGCUCGCUGAACUUGGCGUCCAGCUCGGUUUUCUGCUCGCUGAACUUGGCAUCCAGCUUUGUGUUCUGCUCGCUGAACUUGGCGUCCAGCUUGGCAUUCUGCUCGCUGAACUUGGCGUCCAGCUUUGUGUUCUGCUCGCUGAACUUGGCGUCCAGCUUGGCGUUCUGCUCGCUGAACUUGGCGUCCAGCUUUGUGUUCUGCUCGCUGAACUUGGC
RNAcentral lists this long non-coding RNA (1642 nucleotides) under Chlamydomonas reinhardtii. RNAcentral's name for it is "long non-coding RNA (CREI_LNC000947)". The record is from RNAcentral. Lineage: Eukaryota; Viridiplantae; Chlorophyta; Chlorophyceae; Chlamydomonadales; Chlamydomonadaceae.